Molecule: non-coding RNA, 29 nt
Filed under: Homo sapiens (human)
Lineage: Eukaryota; Metazoa; Chordata; Mammalia; Primates; Hominidae
Source: RNAcentral
UGCAGUUUCUGUUUACUCCCAUCCCUGCC